This 370-nucleotide ribosomal RNA is filed under the name uncultured Streptococcus sp. RNAcentral's name for it is "bacterial SSU rRNA". It matches the Rfam family "Bacterial small subunit ribosomal RNA", at positions 1011 to 1382 of the family's 1533-position model. The record is from RNAcentral. Lineage: Bacteria; Bacillati; Bacillota; Bacilli; Lactobacillales; Streptococcaceae.
AAAGUUACUUCGGUACAUCGGUGACAGGUGAUGCAUGGUUGUCGUCAGCUCGUGUCGUGAGAUGUUGGGUUAAGUCCCGCAACGAGCGCAACCCCUAUUGUUAGUUGCCAUCAUUCAGUUGGGCACUCUAGCGAGACUGCCGGUAAUAAACCGGAGGAAGGUGGGGAUGACGUCAAAUCAUCAUGCCCCUUAUGACCUGGGCUACACACGUGCUACAAUGGUUGGUACAACGAGUUGCGAGUCGGUGACGGCGAGCUAAUCUCUUAAAGCCAAUCUCAGUUCGGAUUGUAGGCUGCAACUCGCCUACAUGAAGUCGGAAUCGCUAGUAAUCGCGGAUCAGCACGCCGCGGUGAAUACGUUCCCGGGCCUU